RNAcentral lists this ribosomal RNA (435 nucleotides) under uncultured bacterium. RNAcentral describes it as "partial 16S ribosomal RNA". It matches the Rfam family "Bacterial small subunit ribosomal RNA", at positions 28 to 507 of the family's 1533-position model. The record is from RNAcentral.
GAUGAACGCUGGCGGUAUGCUUAACACAUGCAAGUCGAACGGACUCUUCGGAGUUAGUGGCGGACGGGUGAGUAACGCGUGAGAAUCUGGCUUUGGGUUCGGGACAACCACUGGAAACGGUGGCUAAUACCGGAUGUGCCGAGAGGUAAAAGAGAAAUUGCCUGAAGAUGAGCUCGCGUCUGAUUAGCUAGUUGGUGAGGUAAAGGCUCACCAAGGCAGCGAUCAGUAGCUGGUCUGAGAGGAUGACCAGCCACACUGGGACUGAGACACGGCCCAGACUCAUACGGGAGGCAGCGGUGGGGAAUUUUCCGCAAUGGGCGAAAGCCUGACGGAGCAAUACCGCGUGAGGGAAGAAGGCUCUUGGGUUGAAAACCUCUUUUCUUAGGGAAGAACAAAAUGACGGUACCUAAGGAAUCAGCAUCGGCUAACUCCGUG